Xenopus tropicalis (tropical clawed frog) is the source of this 467-nucleotide long non-coding RNA. RefSeq lists it as uncharacterized. NCBI's taxonomy places the organism in Eukaryota, Metazoa, Chordata, Amphibia, Anura, Pipidae. The record is from RefSeq and is a predicted model, not a curated record. The transcript is spliced from 2 exons.
UGACAUCAUCAACAGACAAGUGACAACUGUCCCAGAGGAGCCUGUGUUUACCUGCAUCAUUAGCCACCGGGCCGGAAAGUUCUGCUGCCUCUUGGUCAGAUCCAGAACCCCCUCAGAAAAUGAGCAGAGUCAGCACCGAGUCCAGAAGGACAAGAACAAGGAGGGCAAUGGGCACCCAGAGAAGGCAGCGUAGCCAGGGGGCUACUCACCGUAGCCGGACUCAGCGCCGCAGGAGGAGAACUGGUACCGCUACAAGAACCAGAACCAGCAGAGCCAAUAUCACUAGAAUGAUGUGGAGAGCCUAUGGCUCGGAAUAUCGCUCCUAAGCGCACUGAGAGGCACAUGUGAUCCCAAGAGCCAAUGGAGGCUGAGACCAGUCGCUGUGGCCGCUGGGCAUCUGAAUUCCUCAGUAAUAAGUCACUUCUGUUCCCCACCGAGAAGCACCAAUAAAACCGAUAGCAAACGCA